RNAcentral lists this ribosomal RNA (217 nucleotides) under uncultured prokaryote. Its description in RNAcentral is "partial 16S ribosomal RNA". It matches the Rfam family "Bacterial small subunit ribosomal RNA", at positions 524 to 740 of the family's 1533-position model. The record is from RNAcentral.
UACGAAGGGUGCAAGCGUUACUCGGAAUUACUGGGCGUAAAGGGUGCGUAGGUGGUUUUUUAAGUCCGUUGUGAAAUCCCUGGGCUCAACCUGGGAAUGGCAGUGGAUACUGGAAAGCUAGAGUGCGGUAGAGGGUAGUGGAAUUCCCGGUGUAGCAGUGAAAUGCGUAGAGAUCGGGAGGAACACCAGUGGCGAAGGCGAUCACCUGGGGUUGUUC